ACUCUGCCAGGUGCCUCACAUGAGCUGUCUCGUAUAAUCUUUUACAGUCCAGUGAGACAGGUGCUGCUAUCCUUAUCUUACAAAUUUUAAAAACUACCUAAAUGUUAAGGAAUUUGCCCAAAGUCUUACAACUAGUUAGCUGGGAUUACAGCUGGAUUCUGACCCAGCUUGCCCGUCUGCGCUGUCCUGACUCUCUGCACUCCCACCUAGAUGACGGAGAACUUGGAGGGGCACCAGGAGAAGCUGGAGGAGAAGCAGGCGGCUUGCCUGGAACAGAUACGGGAGAUGGAAAAGCAGCCAGAUCCCGCACAUCCUUGAAGUCCUAUCUUUAAAAGGCCCGAGAGCCCUCUCCUCCCCACAACUCCAUCUUUUCAUCCAAGGACUGUGUUGCACUCCUGACCCUCGGCUCCCUUUGGAGAGAUGGACAGAGCCCUUGCCUCCUGUGGAGGCCCCUGCCUUAGUGAGCCUCCGCCCUGCCUGUCCCACUGUGCUGGCUCCUGAAGGUAAGUCACAGGUGCUGCUUCUGCUGAGCUGGGGGGACGGGCCAGGCCAGCUGCAG
This 559-nucleotide small RNA is filed under the name Pongo abelii (Sumatran orangutan). RNAcentral describes it as "retained intron". Lineage: Eukaryota; Metazoa; Chordata; Mammalia; Primates; Hominidae. The record is from RNAcentral.